This 520-nucleotide ribosomal RNA is filed under the name uncultured Corynebacterium sp. RNAcentral describes it as "bacterial SSU rRNA". It matches the Rfam family "Bacterial small subunit ribosomal RNA", at positions 1 to 507 of the family's 1533-position model. The record is from RNAcentral. Lineage: Bacteria; Bacillati; Actinomycetota; Actinomycetes; Mycobacteriales; Corynebacteriaceae.
GUUCCCUCGGUGUCGCCGUUGGCUAGUCUACAGAGUAGUUUGACUCCGUGGCGUCAGGACGACGCUGGCGGCGUGCUUAACACAUGCAAGUCGACGGAAAGGCCCUGCUUGCAGGGUACUCGAGUGGCGAACGGGUGAGUAACACGUGGGUGAUCUGCCCUGCACUUCGGGAUAAGCUUGGGAAACUGGGUCUAAUACCGGAUAGGAGCCAUCUUUAGUGUGGUGGUUGGAAAGUUUUUUCGGUGUAGGGUGAGCUCGCGGCCUAUCAGCUUGUUGGUGGGGUAAUGGCCUACCAAGGCGGCGACGGGUAGCCGGCCUGAGAGGGUGUACGGCCACAUUGGGACUGAGAUACAGCCCAGACUCCUACGGGAGGCAGCAGUGGGGAAUAUUGCACAAUGGGCGCAAGCCUGAUGCAGCGACGCCGCGUGGGGGAUGAAGGCCUUCGGGUUGUAAACUCCUUUCGCUAGGGACGAAGCUUUGUGUGACGGUACCUAGAUAAGAAGCACCGGCUAACUACGUG